UACGUAGGGGGCAAGCGUUGUCCGGAAUCAUUGGGCGUAAAGAGCGCGUAGGCGGCCCAGUCAGUCCGCUCUGAAAGUCAGGGGCUUAACCCCUGAAUGCGGGUGGAUACUGCUGGGCUAGAGUCCGGAAGAGGCGAGUGGAAUUCCUGGUGUAGCGGUGAAAUGCGCAGAUAUCAGGAGGAACACCGAUGGCGAAGGCAGCUCGCUGGGACGGUACUGACGCUGAGACGCGAAAGCGUGGGGAGCAAACAGG
This 253-nucleotide ribosomal RNA is filed under the name uncultured bacterium. RNAcentral's name for it is "partial 16S ribosomal RNA". It matches the Rfam family "Bacterial small subunit ribosomal RNA", at positions 524 to 776 of the family's 1533-position model. The record is from RNAcentral.